UGACUGCGUACCUUUUGUAUAAUGGGUCAGCGACUUAUAUUCUGUAGCAAGGUUAACCGUAUAGGGGAGCCGGAGGGAAACCGAGUCUUAACCGGGCGUUAAGUUGCAGGGUAUAGACCCGAAACCCGGUGAUCUAGCCAUGGGCAGGUUGAAGGUUGGGUAACACUAACUGGAGGACCGAACCGACUAAUGUUGAAAAAUUAGCGGAUGACCUGUGGCUGGGGGUGAAAGGCCAAUCAAACCGGGAGAUAGCUGGUUCUCCCCGAAAGCUAUUUAGGUAGCGCCUCGUGAAUUCAUCUCCGGGGGUAGAGCACUGUUUCGGCUAGGGGGCCAUCCCGGCUUACCAACCCGAUGCAAACUGCGAAUACCGGAGAAUGUUAUCACGGGAGACACACGGCGGGUGCUAACGUCCGUCGUGAAGAGGGAAACAACCCAGACCGCCAGCUAAGGUCCCAAAGUCAUGGUUAAGUGGGAAACGAUGUGGGAAGGCCCAGACAGCCAGGAUGUUGGCUUAGAAGCAGCCAUCAUUUAAAGAAAGCGUAAUAGCUCACUGGUCGAGUCGGCCUGCGCGGAAGAUGUAACGGGGCUAAACCAUGCACCGAAGCUGCGGCAGCGAACGUAUCACCCAAGACAACUUUACGGAGUUGACGAUUGACGGAGCGAAGCGACGUCAAAGCGUUCAUUAAAGUCGAGUUGGCUUAGGGAUACGUUCGUUGGGUAGGGGAGCGUUCUGUAAGCCUGUGAAGGUGUGUCGUGAGGCAUGCUGGAGGUAUCAGAAGUGCGAAUGCUGACAUAAGUAACGAUAAAGCGGGUGAAAAGCCCGCUCGCCGGAAGACCAAGGGUUCCUGUCCAACGUUAAUCGGGGCAGGGUGAGUCGACCCCUAAGGCGAGGCCGAAAGGCGUAGUCGAUGGGAAACGGGUUAAUAUUCCCGUACUUGGUGUUACUGCGAAGGGGGGACGGAGAAGGCUAUGUUGGCCGGGCGACGGUUGUCCCGGUUUAAGCGUGUAGGUGUGUGUUCCAGGUAAAUCCGGUUCACUUUAACACUGAGGCGUGACGACGAGGCACUACGGUGCUGAAGCAACAAAUGCCCUGCUUCCAGGAAAAGCCUCUAAGCAUCAGGUAACACGAAAUCGUACCCCAAACCGACACAGGUGGUCAGGUAGAGAAUACCAAGGCGCUUGAGAGAACUCGGGUGAAGGAACUAGGCAAAAUGGUGCCGUAACUUCGGGAGAAGGCACGCUGACACGUAGGUGAAGUGAUUUACUCAUGGAGCUGAAGUCAGUCGAAGAUACCAGCUGGCUGCAACUGUUUAUUAAAAACACAGCACUGUGCAAACACGAAAGUGGACGUAUACGGUGUGACGCCUGCCCGGUGCCGGAAGGUUAAUUGAUGGGGUCAGCGUAAGCGAAGCUCCUGAUCGAAGCCCCGGUAAACGGCGGCCGUAACUAUAACGGUCCUAAGGUAGCGAAAUUCCUUGUCGGGUAAGUUCCGACCUGCACGAAUGGCGUAAUGAUGGCCAGGCUGUCUCCACCCGAGACUCAGUGAAAUUGAACUCGCUGUGAAGAUGCAGUGUACCCGCGGCAAGACGGAAAGACCCCGUGAACCUUUACUAUAGCUUGACACUGAACAUUGAGCCUUGAUGUGUAGGAUAGGUGGGAGGCUUUGAAGUGUGGACGCCAGUCUGCAUGGAGCCGACCUUGAAAUACCACCCUUUAAUGUUUGAUGUUCUAACGUGGACCCGUAAUCCGGGUUGCGGACAGUGUCUGGUGGGUAGUUUGACUGGGGCGGUCUCCUCCUAAAGAGUAACGGAGGAGCACGAAGGUUGGCUAAUCCUGGUCGGACAUCAGGAGGUUAGUGCAAUGGCAUAAGCCAGCUUGACUGCGAGCGUGACGGCGCGAGCAGGUGCGAAAGCAGGUCAUAGUGAUCCGGUGGUUCUGAAUGGAAGGGCCAUCGCUCAACGGAUAAAAGGUACUCCGGGGAUAACAGGCUGAUACCGCCCAAGAGUUCAUAUCGACGGCGGUGUUUGGCACCUCGAUGUCGGCUCAUCACAUCCUGGGGCUGAAGUAGGUCCCAAGGGUAUGGCUGUUCGCCAUUUAAAGUGGUACGCGAGCUGGGUUUAGAACGUCGUGAGACAGUUCGGUCCCUAUCUGCCGUGGGCGCUGGAGAACUGAGGGGGGCUGCUCCUAGUACGAGAGGACCGGAGUGGACGCAUCACUGGUGUUCGGGUUGUCAUGCCAAUGGCACUGCCCGGUAGCUAAAUGCGGAAGAGAUAAGUGCUGAAAGCAUCUAAGCACGAAACUUGCCCCGAGAUGAGUUCU
This 2319-nucleotide ribosomal RNA is filed under the name Salmonella enterica subsp. enterica serovar Typhimurium. Its description in RNAcentral is "bacterial LSU rRNA". It matches the Rfam family "Bacterial large subunit ribosomal RNA", at positions 594 to 2812 of the family's 2925-position model. Lineage: Bacteria; Pseudomonadati; Pseudomonadota; Gammaproteobacteria; Enterobacterales; Enterobacteriaceae. The record is from RNAcentral.